Molecule: ribosomal RNA, 429 nt
Filed under: Gemmatimonadota bacterium
Lineage: Bacteria; Pseudomonadati; Gemmatimonadota
Description: Gemmatimonadetes bacterium partial 16S ribosomal RNA
Rfam family: Bacterial small subunit ribosomal RNA
Source: RNAcentral
UAGGGAAUCUUCGGCAAUGGACGAAAGUCUGACCGAGCAACGCCGCGGGGGUGAAGAAGGUUUUCGGAUCGUAAAACUCUGUUGUUAGAGAAGAACAAGGACGUUAGUAACUGAACGUCCCCUGACGGUAUCUAACCAGAAAGCCACGGCUAACUACGUGCCAGCAGCCGCGGUAAUACGUAGGUGGCAAGCGUGGUCCGGAUUUAUUGGGCGUAAAGCGAGCGCAGGCGGUUUCUUAAGUCUGAUGUGAAAGCCCCCGGCUCAACCGGGGAGGGUCAUUGGAAACUGGGAGACUUGAGUGCAGAAGAGGAGAGUGGAAUUCCAUGUGUAGCGGUGAAAUGCGUAGAUAUAUGGAGGAACACCAGUGGCGAAGGCGGCUCUCUGGUCUGUACCUGACGCUGAGGCUCGAAAGCGUGGGGAGCAAACAGG